Molecule: ribosomal RNA, 339 nt
Filed under: Triticum aestivum (bread wheat)
Lineage: Eukaryota; Viridiplantae; Streptophyta; Magnoliopsida; Poales; Poaceae
Description: partial small subunit ribosomal RNA
Source: RNAcentral
AUGCGACCACUGGCAUAUUUUGGGGAGCGGCACGAACAUCAAGCAAUGGCUGAGAUGAAGUUCCGAGCUAAGACAUAUGGUGUUAAUUGUCUCAAAGAUGGAAUGAUUUGCUCCAUGGAAACUAUCUCAUUAGCUGCAUUCCAAUUACAGUUCAUGUUCAUGGCCUUGUUGUGGUUGCACCGUGGUCCGUGGGGAACAGGAUCGAAUACCUUUGCUACAACCAAGGGAAGACUAUUAAAACACGAAGAUUAUGAGGAAAGGAUUCAGAGCUUUUUGCCGAACCCAGAUUGCCACACACAUGAUGCAAAAUUAACAACCAGGACUUUGAAAUAUGGAUGA